This 434-nucleotide ribosomal RNA is filed under the name uncultured Lachnospiraceae bacterium. Its description in RNAcentral is "partial 16S ribosomal RNA". It matches the Rfam family "Bacterial small subunit ribosomal RNA", at positions 341 to 792 of the family's 1533-position model. Lineage: Bacteria; Bacillati; Bacillota; Clostridia; Lachnospirales; Lachnospiraceae. The record is from RNAcentral.
ACGGGAGGCAGCAGUGGGGGAUAUUGCACAAUGGGGGAAACCCUGAUGCAGCGACGCCGCGUGAGUGAUGAAGUAUUUCGGUAUGUAAAGCUCUAUCAGCAGGAAAGAUAAUGACGGUACCUGACUAAGAAGCACCGGCUAAAUACGUGCCAGCAGCCGCGGUCAUACGUAUGGUGCAAGCGUUAUCCGGAUUUACUGGGUGUAAAGGGAGCGCAGACGGCAUGGCAAGCCAGAUGUGAAAGGCAGGGGCUCAACUCCUGGACUGCAUUUGGAACUGUCAAGCUAGAGUAACGGAGAGGUAAGUGGAAUUCCUAGUGUAGCGGUGAAAUGCGUAGAUAUUAGGAGGAACACCAGUGGCGAAGGCGGGUUACUGGACGAUAACUGACGUUGAGGCUCGAAAGCGUGGGGAGCAAACAGGAUUAGAUACCCUGGUA